GCAGUAGCCACGGGAAUACAGAGGGUGCGAGCGUUAAUCGGAUUUACUGGGCGUAAAGCGUGCGUAGGCGGCUAAUUGAGUCGGAUGUGAAAUCCCCGAGCUUAACUUGGGAAUUGCAUUCGAUACUGGUUAGCUAGAGUGUGGGAGAGGAUGGUAGAAUUCCAGGUGUAGCGGUGAAAUGCGUAGAGAUCUGGAGGAAUACCGAUGGCGAAGGCAGCCAUCUGGCCUAACACUGACGCUGAGGUACGAAAGCAUGGGGAGCAAACAGGAUUAGAGACCCCCGUAGUCCCUGUCUCUUAUAC
Molecule: ribosomal RNA, 302 nt
Filed under: uncultured bacterium
Lineage: Bacteria
Description: partial 16S ribosomal RNA
Rfam family: Bacterial small subunit ribosomal RNA
Source: RNAcentral